This 253-nucleotide ribosomal RNA is filed under the name uncultured bacterium. RNAcentral describes it as "partial 16S ribosomal RNA". It matches the Rfam family "Bacterial small subunit ribosomal RNA", at positions 524 to 776 of the family's 1533-position model. The record is from RNAcentral.
AACGUAGGGGACAAGCGUUAUCCGGAUUUACUGGGCGUAAAGAGCGCGCAGGCGGCUGGUCAAGUCCGAUGUGAAAGCUCCCGGCUUAACUGGGAAAUUGCAUCGGAAACUGAUCGGCUGGAAGGUGGGAGAGGGUAGCGGAAUUCCCGGUGUAGUGGUGAAAUGCGUAGAUAUCGGGAGGAACACCAGUGGCGAAAGCGGCUACCUGGCCCAUUCUUGACGCUGAGGCGCGAAAGCUAGGGGAGCAAACGGG